Aquila chrysaetos chrysaetos is the source of this 340-nucleotide long non-coding RNA. RefSeq lists it as uncharacterized. NCBI's taxonomy places the organism in Eukaryota, Metazoa, Chordata, Aves, Accipitriformes, Accipitridae. The record is from RefSeq and is a predicted model, not a curated record. The transcript has 3 exons.
CGCACGUGGUCUGGGCGCCUCGGGAGUACCGUGGGCUUGAAAAUUAUCUUUCAUCAAUUAAAUCACACCUAAACGCCUUGGUCCACAAAAGCUGUUCUCUCAAUCUCCACUGGCUGCCCCUGCCUGUCGUACAGAGCUAAGACGAAGUGGAAAAAAUUGGAUUUUCUGAGAUUGGAAGGCGGCUGUUUCUCGAAAUGUGCCCGAGCCAGCCCCACGCCGCUGCGGGAGAAAACAAGACAAGGCGUGGACGCGCUCAACGUGGUGUCAUCCUAGUAAAACCGCCUCGGAAAAAAAAAAAAAGCUUCAGGACACUGCUGAAUCGACCACUUUCUGGCAAGGC